This 85-nucleotide transfer RNA is filed under the name Felis catus (domestic cat). It matches the Rfam family "tRNA". Rfam says of the family: Transfer RNA (tRNA) molecules are approximately 80 nucleotides in length. The record is from Rfam by way of RNAcentral. Lineage: Eukaryota; Metazoa; Chordata; Mammalia; Carnivora; Felidae.
GCGUGGGUGGCUCAGCUGGUUGAGCAUCUGACUUUGGCUCAGGUUAUGAUCUCACGGUUCAUGGGUUCAAGCCCCACAUCAGGCU